CGAUAAUGAAACUUGAACUUGAAUCAAAUUGUGAUACAAAGGCUUCAGUACGAAACAGUACAGAACUGCUCAGCUGUGACUGACAGAGGCAUGCAUCAUUUAUAAAAACAAACUUUUAAAAAUUGUUUUACACAGUGAACACAGCGUUAGACAGAGGACAAAGACUAAAGAAGUGAAAACAGGCAGAUUUAUUGAAGAUACACAAUAAAGCUGAGUGCUUUCUUUUUCUUUGUAUUUCUUUUUUAACCGUACUAUGACUCUACCCUCGAGAGCAACAGCAAUGUGUGGUAAAUAACUUGUUAUAAAAUUUUUUUGUUAUUGUAGUAGCACUUUUCCUCAUUCUUUUAUCAAUUAAGUACCAGGCAAGGUUAUCUGCAAAUGCACGUGGUAUUUGGGCCAAAGUUGUGGGCAGCAGUGCUUUUGCUGGCCUACUCUGCUUUUUAAUACACAGUAAUUUUGGUUAAAAAAAAAAAAAAAGUGUGGCAUACAGUACAGAAAAACCCCAGUGGUGUGGAUACAGAUAAAUAGCCUUGAGAUGAGAAAGUAUUAAAUUGCUCCCAUGGUAGAGGUAGCAAGAAGAAUUGGAUGGAUUUUCUUGUGCAUGUGUUAUUAAGGGAGCAUUUAUAAAAUCAUUUUGAGGUUAAGUGCACAUCAGCUUUAAAAAAAAAAAAAAAAAAAAGGGAUACUAGCCCUUAGGAAGACUGGGGGUUUUAAUUCCCAUGCAGCACCUAUAAAAAUGGAAAGAGAGAAACAUACAGAAAUAACAUGCAUGUGCAUAAGCAGGUUACAUGGAAUUUCUAACCUAUACGAACACUGCAGAGGCGACAGAAUCUGGUGACAGAAUCAGAUGAAACCAAAGCAGUCAAGAGUGCAACCGAUGCUCUGUCACUCCCACUCUGUUCCGUCUCCUUUCUUCCCCCUUCCUUGCUCCUUUUGACAUUUCGUCACAACAGUGCACCAUCUUUAAUAGCAGAAGUGCUACCGAACAGUUUUUUCACAAAUACCGAACCGCGUGAAUGUCAAAAUGGAAGAUUUCACCUGAGGCUGGUGCCCUGUACUUACAGAGGACCUACCAGCAGCAGUCAGUGACAUGGAAUGAUCUGUAAAUGGGUGGAGAGCAGUGAGUAUCAAGAGGUAUGCUUGUGAAGUGCAGAGGCAGGGCUGAGAUAAAAUGCAGGACAAUUUGAGAGCUCUUAAAUCCAGGCUGAUAAAUGUCUGAUUCAUCGCAGUGUGUGUAAGUACAUGUGUGUGUCAUUGCCUCUUUCUCCUCGUUUCAAGAAUGAAUGAACAAAGACACGUGCUCCUUUUUAAACAACACUUUUUUUGUUGUUGUUGCUUUUUCAUUGAGGUCCCGUGCAUCAGGUGACACGGCUCUCUCGUACGUGUGUUGUGUCCACGCAUGUAUGUCUGUUGGUGUGCAUCGUGGACAUGUGAGGUGGGAUGCAUGGUGAUGGAUUAGGGCUGGAACUAAUGUGCUCGUCCACCUGUGAAAUGAGAACCAGGGGAAAGGGGACAGGCGGAGGAGGGCCCCAUCACACUCACAUCAGGCUUCCUGCAGACAUAACUUGACACUUUUUGAUGAUUUGAUGGCAAACACACAAACAAAAGCAUACUUCUUUGCCCUCUACAUUUUCCCUCUUUCUUUUUUUCUUCCUCUAAGAAAGCCGGCACAAAACAGAUCUGAUAGACGCACAAUUCAUAGACUCGCUUGAAGUGCAAGACACGUUUGACCACACUGUCAGAAAAGGAGGCCAUGGAUGAGGGUCUCAGAGGGCCUGGAGCCUAUCCCAGCUACCAUAGGAUGAGAGGCGGGUACACCCUGGACAGUCUACACUGUAAAAAAAAAAAAAAAUCCUGUUGAUUUUACAGAAAAAAUCUGGCAGCUGUGGUUGCCAGAAUAAUUCUGUAGAAAAAACUGUGAACUAGAAACAAGAAUACUUACAAAGCUGUAAAAAUUACAGCUUAAAACCAUUAUAAUUCCCCCCAAAAAUAAAUUUCAAGCCAGUAAAUUCAACAGCCCUUUUAUGUCAAAUUAGCAUGGCCAAACUACUAUUAAACACAUUUUCCCUGUAAGAUUUACAGAAUGUUGCUGCUUAUUGUACACUAAAUCUCAGUUUUGCAGAAAAAUAAAAAUAAAAUACAACAGCA
Molecule: long non-coding RNA, 2148 nt
Organism: Astatotilapia calliptera (eastern happy)
Lineage: Eukaryota; Metazoa; Chordata; Actinopteri; Cichliformes; Cichlidae
Source: Ensembl